GCCAUAAUGGUGCAGUGGUUUGAGCACCAGACUACAACUCUGGAAACUAUGGAUCAAAUCCCCACUUGGCC
Non-coding RNA from Phrynosoma platyrhinos (Desert horned lizard), 71 nucleotides. NCBI's taxonomy places the organism in Eukaryota, Metazoa, Chordata, Lepidosauria, Squamata, Phrynosomatidae. The record is from the annotation of a GenBank genome assembly.